GAGAAAGGGGGCUGCUACUGCAACCAAGCAAUUGGUGCAGACGCUCUACGAUGCAAUCAGACAAUGAGAGAGCGGACUCUCUUUCUCUAAGGGACACUUCCUCAUUUUUUCCACCCUCCGUGGAGGGGGAGUACCAUGUAGUUAGGAAGAUGAUCGAUGCCUAAAGCAUGUCUACUUAAGAUCUCUAUCCUUUCUGGUGAUCAAGAUAUCCCAAGAAGAGAGACCUGACGGCGCGCCUUUACUAGAAGAGAAGGAAAGAAGACACUUACUAG
Molecule: long non-coding RNA, 272 nt
Filed under: Lathyrus oleraceus (garden pea)
Lineage: Eukaryota; Viridiplantae; Streptophyta; Magnoliopsida; Fabales; Fabaceae
Description: Pisum sativum (pea) long non-coding RNA (PSAT_LNC039990)
Source: RNAcentral